Molecule: transfer RNA, 74 nt
Organism: Limnochorda pilosa
Lineage: Bacteria; Bacillati; Bacillota; Limnochordia; Limnochordales; Limnochordaceae
Rfam family: tRNA
About the family: Transfer RNA (tRNA) molecules are approximately 80 nucleotides in length.
Source: Rfam
GGCGGCGUGGCCAAGCGGCUAAGGCAACGGCCCUGCAAGGCCGUGAUCCCGCGGUUCGACUCCCGGCGCCGCCU